GGCGACCGCUUUGGGAGUUCGAUUAAGCCAUGCGAGUCGUGAGUCUUAGGGACUCGGCAUACUGCUCAGUAACACGUGGAUAACCUGCCCUAUCGUCUGGAAUAACCUCGGGAAACUGAGAAUAAGGCCGGAUAGUUCACAAUGCCUGGAACGGUUUGUGAAUCAAGGUAGGAUGGGUCUGCAGCGUAUCAGGUUGUAGGGGGUGUAAAGGACCCCCUAGCCUUCGACGCGUACGGGUGUUGGGAGACAUAGCCCGGAGAUGGAUUCUGAGACACGAAUCCAGACCCUACGGGGUGCAGCAGGCGCGAAAACUUCACACUGCAGGAAACUGUGAUGAGGGAACUCCUAGUGCAUGCACUAUGUGUAUGUAGAUCCUACUCUUAACAAGUAGAGGGAAAGGGCUGGGAAAGACCGGUGCCAGCCGCCGCGGUAAUACCGGCAGCUCAAGUGGUCGUCGCUUUUAUUGGGCCUAAAACGUCCGUAGCCUGUUUGGUAAAUCUGUGGGUAAAUCAAUCCGCUCAACGGAUUGGAUUCUGCAGAGACUGCCAGACUAGGGACCGGGAGAGGUGUGGGGUACUCGAGGGGUAGGGGUAAAAUCCUGUCAUCCUUAGAGGACCACCAGUUGCGGAGGCGCCACACUGGAACGGAUCCGACGGUCAGGGACGAAGCCUAGGGGCACGAACCGGAUUAGAUACCCGGGUAGUCCUAGGUGUAAACGCUGUGAACUUGGUGUCGGGGAUCCGUAAUGGGUUCUCGGUGCCGGAGUGAAGAUGUUAAGUUCACUGCCUGGGGAGUACGGUCGCAAGGCUGAAACUUAAAGGAAUUGGCGGGGGAGCACUGCAACGGGAGGAGCGUGCGGUUU
This 862-nucleotide ribosomal RNA is filed under the name uncultured archaeon. Its description in RNAcentral is "bacterial SSU rRNA". It matches the Rfam family "Archaeal small subunit ribosomal RNA", at positions 21 to 903 of the family's 1478-position model. The record is from RNAcentral.